GCUCCAGUUGUUUCCUAGUGUCUGGUCUACUCCAGGACCAUGGUAGACAAAGCAUUUUCUGAGCUUCCACUUGGACACUGAAUGUGCUGAAGAUAGCCAGAGGCCACCAGGAAUUUGCACAUUUGCACUUCUGUUUUCUAGAUGUGAGUUCUAUCUCGAUAGGUCUGACUGUUCAAAUCCCUGUUUACACACUGAUAGGAUGUCCGCAAUCUGCUUCAAAAUAACCCUUGGAUAGGACGUGGAUAGGGAUUGGAGUGGAACAAGAUUGGCCACAAGUUGAUAAGUAUUGAAGCAUAUUAAUCGAACCUCACAGCUUUGAAUCUUGGGAAAUCUGGUGGUGACCAGGCCUUCUGCAUCCUCCUCCUGGUCACUGAUAACCUUGAUGCACAGGAUGGGAUGGAGAUGCAGGACCCUAAUUCCUUCCUGAGUGACAUCAGUGAGGGCGCUUCAGGUUCCAUUGUUCAGCUACAAAAUACUACAAAUACAAAUACAUAGAAACUUCUCCAGCCCACAGUUCUCCAACUUGUUCACAAGGAGAGUGUGAGCUUCCUUGUCAGAGCUUUGCUGAACUCCAGAGACCAACAAAGUCAGAAAAUGGAGUGAGGCCCAGGUGACCCUGGCACGGCUUCCUCACUUCCCAGCUUCAUUUGGAAGUUUCCUGACAAGCAGCAACUUGAUGGUUCACCUGAGAAUUUUGUCAAAGUUCCAGACUAAGGUGAGGUCUGUGUGGCAUGUCUCUGGAAGCACUUUGAAGACAGGAGUUAUUGUAACAGUGUCUUGAAGCAGUCCUGGCACCUACUUGAUGCUCCAUACGUGCUCACCAGAAGAAUGAAUAUGCAUGAACAGGCUUCAUUCAAUUGUGUUAUCGGGAAGGCCUCUUUUGUGGGCGGCCAGCAGGAGCUCGUGAAGAUACCUCGCAACAGCUCUGAGAGGAAGGGAAUUCUUGCUUCUGUUGACAGAUAAGAAACUGAGUUUCAGUGAGGAGAAAUGAUUAUUAGCCCAAGCCCCAGUGUAAGUGACAAAGCUACAAUUUCAGCCUCAGAUGGGCCUCUCAAGCUGCUGUUCCAUACCCUUGGAUCUGUGAAGAAAGAAGCGAGGGCUUCAGUGAUUUGCUUGAGACUCAGCUGGCCUCCCACCUUCCCUCUCAACAGUCUUGCUCUGGCCGCAGAAGUCUCACCGCUCUACAUCUGCCACGGUCUCUCCAGCCCCCAUGCCUCAGACUAUGCACUUGGCCUGGAAUCCCGACUCCUAUUCUGCCUAGUGAAAUGCCCCUCAUGGAUGUUGUACCUCUCCUAAGUGUAAAAGGAAUGGAGGCAGGGCUUUGGACCUGAUGUCUACCUCCCUUCCAGCCCAGGGUAUGUCUACUGCUUUCCGGUGGAUGCUGGGGGCUAAGCUACACCAGCCCCAAGAGCACAGAUCUGGGCUCAGGGGAUCUUUCUGCUGCCAUCACCCAGGGCUGUUCUCUCUUUGCUCCUUUGGAGGAUGUGCUCUGAGACCAGAUGGACCAGUGCUCACAGGCCAUAUCUAUCCCUUUCCUAACUAUGCAGUUUUGGUUCUCUGAAGGCCUGCUUUAAGGCCUCAGUUUCACUCUCUGUAAAAUGGGACUGCUAGGUAUCAUCUCAUUGAGGAAGACGAGAUGGCAGGGAGGGAAAGGAUAACAGGGAGGGAAGGGAAGGCAGGGAGACCAUGUUUAUGAAAGUUGCCUGGUAAAGGGUAGCGGCCUGGCCCCUGCUAUCUGCUAGCCUUCUGCUGAGUGUGGCCCUGGUAUCUCUCAUUUCCUACGUCCUCCACUCUACUUUUGACUCACAAAGCCAAAGUCUUCGUUCUUUCCUUUGAAAACUUUUCUAGAGAUUUCUUACCUAGAAUUUUUCUAAAUGUACAAGCAUUUCUCUCUAAUCCUGCCCUUUUGCUCUCUCUUGGCCCUCUGUGCUGCAAUCCAUAGGCCCUGAGCCCGUCAGCUCCAUAGAAGGAGCACCAGCAGAACCCUCCCAUGUUCUCAGAGCUGGGUUACUCUGCCCAGCAGGUCUUACCUCAGCCAGACUCGGGGCUCCCAGGCCAAGACAGCCUGGAGUGGGUGUUGCAGGGAAUCAUCACUAUCACCCCCCCCAAGGCCCUUGGGCACCCAGGGAAUGAGCUGGGCCCUUGUUGGGCUCCCCUUUUCAUCCUUGUUUGCCAGAGGGCCACUCCCCUUUGGAGAGAUGACACAGGGAUUGAGAACAUAGAAUUUUCAAGGUUCUACUAGCUCUGCCACUUUCUAUUUGAGAGACCUUGGGCCUGUAGCUUGGCUUUGCUGACCCAAAGGUGGUGUUCCUAGUACCCCUUCCAGGACUCUGUGAGAAAUCACUGCUUGCCAUAAAGC
Long non-coding RNA from Bos taurus (domestic cattle), 2359 nucleotides. Lineage: Eukaryota; Metazoa; Chordata; Mammalia; Artiodactyla; Bovidae. The record is from Ensembl.